AUUCAGCUGAUAAGUCCCAAAUAGAACGAAACGCGUGUCCUAGAU
RNAcentral lists this non-coding RNA (45 nucleotides) under Schistosoma margrebowiei. The record is from RNAcentral. Lineage: Eukaryota; Metazoa; Platyhelminthes; Trematoda; Strigeidida; Schistosomatidae.